UAUUGUUGUUAUCAUAACUGCAGCUGUACUUAUCAUUUUUGAUAAAAAAUGAAAAAAACAUUUUUGAUUUGAAAAAAAAAACAGUCCUCCGCAGAGGAGGGGUGGUGGAGGGAAUAUACAUGUAAAAAAAAUAAUUAUUAUAUGGAGGUUGAUGUUGCUAUUUAUUGUUAUUGUUGUUAUCAUAACUGCUGCUGUACUUAUCAUUUUUGUUAUUGCUAUUACUAUUGUUAUUGGCUCUAGUUGUUUUUCUUUUUUUUCUUUUUAUUAUUUUUAUUUUCUUUUUGUUUUUCUUUAUUUUUGUGUUUUUUUUCUUCAUAAUGGAAAUUUAAAAUAAAGUAGUCCUCCGCAGAGGAGGGGUGGUGGAGGGAAUAUGCAUGUAAAAAAAAAUAAUUGUCACGCAACAGGGGUGACAUAUAUCUCCCUGAGCCUGCGCAGUUUGUCGGGUGUUAUGGGUGGUCCCGAAGGGGUCUGACCCCCUCUGCUGGUGGUGGGCUGGGUUGGUGCGUGAGUUGUGUCACUGUGGGUCAGGGUCCUGACGGGUAUUCCGGGUACUUUGGGACACUACGUGCGUCGAAGGCGGCUUUGUGGUUUGGUCUUGUGCUGGGUGGGGGUGCCAACCUUCUUCUGUGGCCCUGGGUUCGGCUUCCUGGAAAGUGGGGUGGGCCCUUUUCACGGCCCCCCUCUACUUCCCGCUCCCCCUCAGCACUACUGGUGGUCGCAUGCCGGGGGGUCAGAAUGGGGGGGGUGUCGCUGCUACUCCCCACAUCAACUAUUAGCACAUCCAUGGACAAAUCGCUACAUUCACACACAAGCAUAAAUACAUACAUAUAUAGGUAUGCAUCCACACUUACCUGUACACCCCACACAUGUAGAUACACAUACACAACCAAUAGCAGACACGUUGUUUUUCUUUGUUUAUUUUUUGUGUUUUUUUUUGUUUGAAAUGGAAAUUAAAAAUAAAGCAGUCCUCCGCAGAGGAGGGGUGGUGGAGGGAAUAUAUAUGUAGAUAUAUAAAAUAAUUGUCUCACAACUAGGGUGACAUACCUUGCCUGCUCACUCAAUUUUAGUGCUCCUUAGUUAUCCAUACUGACCAUCUAGUCUCUGUCACGGGAGAUCGCGGGCAGAGCGGCGAUCGUGCGUGCAGGCGGGCAAGGACAGGCAGACAAGCAGAAAUCGGGGCAAAGUACGGGGUUUAAUCGGGGACACGGAACUACGAACACUGACUGACAUCAAUGACGGACGAAGGACUCAGGUAAGACACGGACUGAAAUACACAGGACUGAGCAAAUGAACUAGAUACAGCUGGGUACAAUUGGGAGAAAACACGUGGGUAAUCAGGGGGCGUGGCACACAGGAGGAGCGGACGAGCCGGGCAUGACAGAACCCCCCCCCAAAGGCGCGCUACUCCGGGCGCGCCAAGGAAGGGGGCGACGGACGGGACGAGGCAAAACAGGACCUGAAAAACAAGAACAGAAUCAACGCAGGACGGGGAACAGGACCGAAGCACAAAACAUGGCAAGAGACAGAACGUAGGACAGGAGCUGACAAAGGGCUGGGAAAGCGGAGAGACAGAUCUGUCACGGGAGAUCGCGGGCAGAGCAGCGAUCGUGCGUGCAGGCGGGCAAGGACAGGCAGACAAGCAGAAAUCGGGGCAAAGUACGGGGUUUAAUCGGGGACACGGAACUACGAACACUGACUGACAUCAAUGACGGACGAAGGACUCAGGUAAGACACGGACUGAAAUACACAGGACUGAGCAAAUGAACUAGAUACAGCUGGGUACAAUCGGGAGAAAACACGUGGGUAAUCAGGGGGCGUGGCACACAGGAGGAGCGGACGAGCCGGGCAUGACAGUCUCGAUACACCCAUAUAUAUAUUUUUUUGGGAAUAUGGUGGGGUGCACGGGAUUGCGCCGUCUGCCAGCGGUGGGGAGCUCGUACCCUGACCACUCCCUCACUUUUAAUGUACCGCAGUUUUGAAUUGCACACACUUCUGUUCACACACACAUUCAUACACACCGACAUGUACAUACAUUACACACACACACAUUGAGCGGGGGGGCAGAUGGGGGCCUGAAGAGGGCCCCUUUUAUUCUCCCUCUCUGGGCCCUUGGAGGGUGUGGUGGGUGGUCCCGGGGGGGGUUUGGAGAGUACCCGGAAAACCUGCCUGGUCCUUGACCCACAGUGGCACAUCCUUGAUGAUAAUACGUUGUUGUAAAUUUGUAUUAUGUGGUGGUUGAUGUUGCUAUUUAUUGUUAUUGUUGUUAUCACAGCUGCAGCUGUACUUAUCAUUUUUGUUAUUGCUAUUAAUUUUGUUAUUGGCUCUAGUUUUUCUUUUUAUUUAUUUUUAUUAUUUUUAUUUUCUUUUUGUUUUUCUUAAUUUUUUGUUUUUUUUACGCAAUGGACAUGAAAAAAAAAACAGUCCUCCGCAGAGGAGGGGUGGUGGAGGGAAUAUACAUGUAAAAAAAAAUAAUUAUUAUAUGGAGGUUGAUGUUGCUAUUUAUUGUUAUUGUUGUUAUCAUAACUGCAGCUGUACUUAUCAUUUUUGAUAAAAAAUGAAAAAAACAUUUUUGAUUUGAAAAAAAAAACAGUCCUCCGCAGAGGAGGGGUGGUGGAGGGAAUAUACAUGUAAAAAAAAAUAUUAUUAUAUGAAGGUUGAUGUUGCUAUUUAUUGUUAUUGUUGUUAUCAUAACUGCAGCUGUACUUAUCAUUUUUGAUAAAAAAUGAAAAAAACAUUUUUGAUUUGAAAAAAAAAACAGUCCUCCGCAGAGGAGGGGUGGUGGAGGGAAUAUACAUGUAAAAAAAAAUAUUAUUAUAUGAAGGUUGAUGUUGCUAUUUAUUGUUAUUGUUGUUAUCAUAACUGCUGCUGUACUUAUCAUUUUUGUUAUUGCUAUUACUAUUGUUAUUGGCUCUAGUUGUUUUUCUUUUUUUUAUUUUUAUUAUUUUUAUUUUCUUUUUGUUUUUCUUUGUUUUUGUGUUUUUUUUCUUCAUAAUGGAAAUUUAAAAUAAAGUAGUCCUCCGCAGAGGAGGGGUGGUGGAGGGAAUAUGCAUGUAAAAAAAAAUAAUUGUCACGCAACAGGGGUGACAUAUAUCUCCCUGAGCCUGCGCAGUUUGUCGGGUGUUAUGGGUGGUCCCGAAGGGGUCUGACCCCCUCUGCUGGUGGUGGGCUGGGUUGGUGCGUGAGUUGUGUCACUGUGGGUCAGGGUCCUGACGGGUAUUCCGGGUACUUUGGGACACUACGUGCGUCGAAGGCGGCUUUGUGGUUUGGUCUUGUGCUGGGUGGGGGUGCCAACCUUCUUCUGUGGCCCUGGGUUCGGCUUCCUGGAAAGUGGGGUGGGCCCUUUUCACGGCCCCCCUCUACUUCCCGCUCCCCCUCAGCACUACUGGUGGUCGCAUGCCGGGGGGUCAGAAUGGGGGGGGUGUCGCUGCUACUCCCCACAUCAACUAUUAGCACAUCCAUGGACAAAUCGCUACAUUCACACACAAGCAUAAAUACAUACAUAUAUAGGUAUGCAUCCACACUUACCUGUACACCCCACACAUGUAGAUACACAUACACAACCAAUAGCAGACACGUUGUUUUUCUUUGUUUAUUUUUUGUGUUUUUUUUUGUUUGAAAUGGAAAUUAAAAAUAAAGCAGUCCUCCGCAGAGGAGGGGUGGUGGAGGGAAUAUAUAUGUAGAUAUAUAAAAUAAUUGUCUCACAACUAGGGUGACAUACCUUGCCUGCUCACUCAAUUUUAGUGCUCCUUAGUUAUCCAUACUGACCAUCUAGUCUCUGUCACGGGAGAUCGCGGGCAGAGCGGCGAUCGUGCGUGCAGGCGGGCAAGGACAGGCAGACAAGCAGAAAUCGGGGCAAAGUACGGGGUUUAAUCGGGGACACGGAACUACGAACACUGACUGACAUCAAUGACGGACGAAGGACUCAGGUAAGACACGGACUGAAAUACACAGGACUGAGCAAAUGAACUAGAUACAGCUGGGUACAAUUGGGAGAAAACACGUGGGUAAUCAGGGGGCGUGGCACACAGGAGGAGCGGACGAGCCGGGCAUGACAGAACCCCCCCCCAAAGGCGCGCUACUCCGGGCGCGCCAAGGAAGGGGGCGACGGACGGGACGAGGCAAAACAGGACCUGAAAAACAAGAACAGAAUCAACGCAGGACGGGGAACAGGACCGAAGCACAAAACAUGGCAAGAGACAGAACGUAGGACAGGAGCUGACAAAGGGCUGGGAAAGCGGAGAGACAGAUCUGUCACGGGAGAUCGCGGGCAGAGCGGCGAUCGUGCGUGCAGGCGGGCAAGGACAGGCAGACAAGCAGAAAUCGGGGCAAAGUACGGGGUUUAAUCGGGGACACGGAACUACGAACACUGACUGACAUCAAUGACGGACGAAGGACUCAGGUAAGACACGGACUGAAAUACACAGGACUGAGCAAAUGAACUAGAUACAGCUGGGUACAAUCGGGAGAAAACACGUGGGUAAUCAGGGGGCGUGGCACACAGGAGGAGCGGACGAGCCGGGCAUGACAGUCUCGAUACACCCAUAUAUAUAUUUUUUUGGGAAUAUGGUGGGGUGCAUGGGAUUCCGCCGUCUGCCAGCGGUGGGGAGCUCGUACCCUGACCACUCCCUCACUUUUAAUGUACCGCAGUUUUGAAUUGCACACACUUCUGUUCACACACACAUUCAUACACACCGACAUGUACAUACAUUACACACACACACAUUGAGCGGGGGGGCAGAUGGGGGCCUGAAGAGGGCCCCUUUUAUUCUCCCUCUCUGGGCCCUUGGAGGGUGUGGUGGGUGGUCCCGGGGGGGGUUUGGAGAGUACCCGGAAAACCUGCCUGGUCCUUGACCCACAGUGGCACAUCCUUGAUGAUAAUACGUUGUUGUAAAUUUGUAUUAUGUGGUGGUUGAUGUUGCUAUUUAUUGUUAUUGUUGUUAUCACAGCUGCAGCUGUACUUAUCAUUUUUGUUAUUGCUAUUAAUUUUGUUAUUGGCUCUAGUUUUUCUUUUUAUUUAUUUUUAUUAUUUUUAUUUUCUUUUUGUUUUUCUUAAUUUUUUGUUUUUUUUACGCAAUGGACAUGAAAAAAAAAACAGUCCUCCGCAGAGGAGGGGUGGUGGAGGGAAUAUACAUGUAAAAAAAAAUAAUUAUUAUAUGGAGGUUGAUGUUACUAUUUAUUGUUAUUGUUGUUAUCAUAACUGCAGCUGUACUUAUCAUUUUUGAUAAAAAAUGAAAAAAACAUUUUUGAUUUGAAAAAAAAAACAGUCCUCCGCAGAGGAGGGGUGGUGGAGGGAAUAUACAUGUAAAAAAAAAUUAUUAUUAUAUGGAGGUUGAUGUUGCUAUUUAUUGUUAUUGUUGUUAUCAUAACUGCAGCUGUACUUAUCAUUUUUGUUAUUGCUAUUACUAUUGUUAUUGGCUCUAGUUGUUUUUCUUUUUAUUUAUUUUUAUUAUUUUUAUUUUCUUUUUGUUUUUCUUUGUUUUUGUGUUUUUUUUUCUUCAUAAUGGAAAUUUAAAAUAAAGUAGUCCUCCGCAGAGGAGGGGUGGUGGAGGGAAUAUGCAUGUAAAAAAAAAUUAUUGUCACGCAACAGGGGUGACAUAUAUCUCCCUGAGCCUGCGCAGUUUGUCGGGUGUUAUGGGUGGUCCCGAAGGGGUCUGACCCCCUCUGCUGGUGGUGGGCUGGGUUGUUGCGUGAGUUGUGUCACUGUGGGUCAGGGUCCUGACGGGUAUUCCGGGUACUUUGGGACACUACGUGCGUCGAAGGCGGCUUUGUGGUUUGGUCUUGUGCUGGGUGGGGGUGCCUACCUUCUUCUGUGGUCCUGGGUUCGGCUUCCUGGAAAGUGGGGUGGGCCCUUUUCACGGCCCCCCUCUACUUCCCGCUCCCCCUCAGCACUACUGGUGGUCGCAUGCCGGGGGGUCAGAAUGGGGGGGGUGUCGCUGCUACUCCCCACAUCAACUAUUAGCACAUCCAUGGACAAAUCGCUACACUCACACACAAGCAUAAAUACAUACAUAUAUAGGUAUGCAUCCACACUUACCUGUACACCCCACACAUGUAGAUACACAUACACAACCAAUAGCAGACACGUUGUUUUUCUUUGUUUAUUUUUUGUGUUUUUUUUGUUUGAAAUGGAAAUAAAAAAUAAAGCAGUCCUCCGCAGAGGAGGGGUGGUGGAGGGAAUAUAUAUGUAGAUAUAUAAAAUAAUUGUCUCACAACUAGGGUGACAUACCUUGCCUGCUCACUCAAUUUUAGUGCUCCUUAGUUAUCCAUACUGACCAUCUAGUCUCUGUCACGGGAGAUCGCGGGCAGAGCGGCGAUCGUGCGUGCAGGCGGGCAAGGACAGGCAGACAAGCAGAAAUCGGGGCAAAGUACGGGGUUUAAUCGGGGACACGGAACUACGAACACUGACUGACAUCAAUGACGGACGAAGGACUCAGGUAAGACACGGACUGAAAUACACAGGACUGAGCAAAUGAACUAGAUACAGCUGGGUACAAUCGGGAGAAAACACGUGGGUAAUCAGGGGGCGUGGCACACAGGAGGAGCGGACGAGCCGGGCAUGACAGAACCCCCCCCCAAAGGCGCGCUACUCCGGGCGCGCCAAGGAAGGGGGCGACGGACGGGACGAGGCAAAACAGGACCUGAAAAACAAGAACAGAAUCAACGCAGGACGGGGAACAGGACCGAAGCACAAAACAUGGCAAGAGACAGAACGUAGGACAGGAGCUGACAAAGCGGAGAGACAGAUCUGUCACGGGAGAUCGCGGGCAGAGCGGCGAUCGUGCGUGCAGGCGGGCAAGGACAGGCAGACAAGCAGAAAUUGGGGCAAAGUACGGGGUUUAAUCGGGGACACGGAACUACAAACACUGACUGACAUCAAUGACGGACGAAGGACUCAGGUAAGACACGGACUGAAAUACACAGGACUGAGCAAAUGAACUAGAUACAGCUGGGUACAAUCGGGAGAAAACACGUGGGUAAUCAGGGGGCGUGGCACACAGGAGGAGCGGACGAGCCGGGCAUGACAGAACCCCCCCCCCAAAGGCGCGCUACUCCGGGCGCGCCAAGGAAGGGGGCGACGGACGGGACGAGGCAAAACAGGACCUGAAAAACAAGAACAGAAUCAACGCAGGACGGGGAACAGGACCGAAGCACAAAACAUGGCAAGAGACAGAACGUAGGACAGGAGCUGACAAAGGGCUGGGAAAGCGGAGAGACAGAUCUGUCACGGGAGAUCGCGGGCAGAGCGGCGAUCGUGCGUGCAUGCGGGCAAGGACAGGCAGACAAGCAGAAAUCGGGGCAAAGUACGGGGUUUAAUCGGUGACACGGAACUACGAACACUGACUGACAUCAAUGACGGACGAAGGACUCAGGUAAAUCACGGACUGAAAUACACAGGACUGAGCAAAUGAACUAGAUACAGCUGGGUACAAUCGGGAGAAAACACGUGGGUAAUCAGGGGGCGUGGCACACAGGAGGAGCGGACGAGCCGGGCAUGACAGAACCCCCCCCCAAAGGCGCGCUACUCCGGGCGCGCCAAGGAAGGGGGCGACGGACGGGACGAGGCAAAACAGGACCUGAAAAACAAGAACAGAAUCAAUGCAGGACGGGGAACAGGACCGAAGCACAAAACAUGGCAAGAGACAGAACGUAGGACAGGAGCUGACAAAGCGGAGAGACAGAUCUGUCACGGGAGAUCGCGGGCAGAGCUGCGAUCGUGCGUGCAGGCGGGCAAGGACAGGCAGACAAGCAGAAAUCGGGGCAAAGUACGGGGUUUAAUCGGGGACACGGAACUACGAACACUGACUGACAUCAAUGACGGACGAAGGACUCAGGUAAAUCACGGACUGAAAUACACAGGACUGAGCAAAUGAACUAGAUACAGCUGGGUACAAUCGGGAGAAAACACGUGGGUAAUCAGGGGGCGUGGCACACAGGAGGAGCGGACGAGCCGGGCAUGACAGAACCCCCCCCCCAAAGGCGCGCUAUUCCGGGCGCGCCAAGGAAGGGGGCGACGGACGGGACGAGGCAAAACAGGACCUGAAAAACAAGAACAGAAUCAACGCAGGACGGGGAACAGGACCGAAGCACAAAACAUGGCAAGAGACAGAACGUAGGGCAGGAGCUGACAAAGGGCUGGGAAAGCGGAGAGACAGAUCUGUCACGGGAGAUCGCGGGCAGAGCGGCGAUCGUGCGUGCAGGCGGGCAAGGACAGGCAGACAAGCAGAAAUCGGGGCAAAGUACGGGGUUUAAUCGGGGACACGGAACUACGAACACUGACUGACAUCAAUGACGGACGAAGGACUCAGGUAAAUCACGGACUGAAAUACACAGGACUGAGCAAAUGAACUAGAUACAGCUGGGUACAAUCGGGAGAAAACACGUGGGUAAUCAGGGGGCGUGGCACACAGGAGGAGCGGACGAGCCGGGCAUGACAGAACCCCCCCCCAAAGGCGCGCUACUCCGGGCGCGCCAAGGAAGGGGGCGACGGACGGGACGAGGCAAAACAGGACCUGAAAAACAAGAACAGAAUCAACGCAGGACGGGGAACAGGACCGAAGCACAAAACAUGGCAAGAGACAGAACGUAGGACAGGAGCUGACAAAGGGCUGGGAAAGCGGAGAGACAGAUCUGUCACGGGAGAUCGCGGGCAGAGCGGCGAUCGUGCGUGCAGGCGGGCAAGGACAGGCAGACAAGCAGAAAUCGGGGCAAAGUACGGGGUUUAAUCGGGGACACGGAACUACGAACACUGACUGACAUCAAUGACGGACGAAGGACUCAGGUAAGACACGGACUGAAAUACACAGGACUGAGCAAAUGAACUAGAUACAGCUGGGUACAAUCGGGAGAAAACACGUGGGUAAUCAGGGGGCGUGGCACACAGGAGGAGCGGACGAGCCGGGCAUGACAGAACCCCCCCCCCAAAGGCGCGCUACUCCGGGCGCGCCAAGGAAGGGGGCGACGGACGGGACGAGGCAAAACAGGACCUGAAAAACAAGAACAGAAUCAAUGCAGGACGGGGAACAGGACCGAAGCACAAAACAUGGCAAGAGACAGAACGUAGGACAGGAGCUGACAAAGCGGAGAGACAGAUCUGUCACGGGAGAUCGCGGGCAGAGCUGCGAUCGUGCGUGCAGGCGGGCAAGGACAGGCAGACAAGCAGAAAUCGGGGCAAAGUACGGGGUUUAAUCGGGGACACGGAACUACGAACACUGACUGACAUCAAUGACGGACGAAGGACUCAGGUAAAUCACGGACUGAAAUACACAGGACUGAGCAAAUGAACUAGAUACAGCUGGGUACAAUCGGGAGAAAACACGUGGGUAAUCAGGGGGCGUGGCACACAGGAGGAGCGGACGAGCCGGGCAUGACAGAACCCCCCCCCCAAAGGCGCGCUAUUCCGGGCGCGCCAAGGAAGGGGGCGACGGACGGGACGAGGCAAAACAGGACCUGAAAAACAAGAACAGAAUCAACGCAGGACGGGGAACAGGACCGAAGCACAAAACAUGGCAAGAGACAGAACGUAGGGCAGGAGCUGACAAAGGGCUGGGAAAGCGGAGAGACAGAUCUGUCACGGGAGAUCGCGGGCAGAGCGGCGAUCGUGCGUGCAGGCGGGCAAGGACAGGCAGACAAGCAGAAAUCGGGGCAAAGUACGGGGUUUAAUCGGUGACACGGAACUACGAACACUGACUGACAUCAAUGACGGACGAAGGACUCAGGUAAAUCACGGACUGAAAUACACAGGACUGAGCAAAUGAACUAGAUACAGCUGGGUACAAUCGGGAGAAAACACGUGGGUAAUCAGGGGGCGUGGCACACAGGAGGAGCGGAGGAGCCGGGCAUGACAGUCUCGAUACACCCAUAUAUAUUUUUUUUUGGGAAUAUGGUGGGGUGCAUGGGAUUCCGCCGUCUGCCAGCGGUGGGGAGCUCGUACCCUGACCACUUCCUCACUUUUAAUGUACCGCAGUUUUGAAUUGCACACACUUCUGUUCACACACACAUUCAUACACACCGACAUGUACAUACAUUACACACACACACAUUGAGCGGGGGGGCAGAUGGGGGCCUGAAGAGGGCCCCUUUUAUUCUCCCUCUCUGGGCCCUUGGAGGGUGUGGUGGGUGGUCCCGGGGGGGGUUUGGAGAGUACCCGGAAAACCUGCCUGGUCCUUGACCCACAGUGGCACAUCCUUGAUGAUAAUACGUUGUUGUAAAUUUGUAUUAUAUGAAGGUUGAUGUUGCUAUUUAUUGUUAUUGUUGUUAUCAUAACUGCAGCUGUACUUAUCAUUUUUGAUAAAAAAUGAAAAAAACAUUUUUUAUUUGAAAAAAAAAAACAGUCCUCCGCAGAGGAGGGGUGGUGGAGGGAAUAUACAUGUAAAAAAAAAUAAUUAUUAUAUGGAGGUUGAUGUUGCUAUUUAUUGUUAUUGUUGUUAUCAUAACUGCAGCUGUACUUAUCAUUUUUGUUAUUGCUAUUACUAUUGUUAUUUGCUCUAGUUGUUUUUCUUUCUUUUUUUUUAUUAUUUUUAUUUUCUUUUUGUUUUUCUUUGUUUUUGUGUUUUUUUUCUUCAUAAUGGAAAUUUAAAAUAAAGUAGUCCUCCGCAGAGGAGGGGUGGUGGAGGGAAUAUGCAUGUAAAAAAAAAUAAUUGUCACGCAACAGGGGUGACAUAUAUCUCCCUGAGCCUGCGCAGUUUGUCGGGUGUUAUGGGUGGUCCCGAAGGGGUCUGACCCCCUCUGCUGGUGGUGGGCUGGGUUGUUGCGUGAGUUGUGUCACUGUGGGUCAGGGUCCUGACGGGUAUUCCGGGUACUUUGGGACACUACGUGCGUCGAAGGCGGCUUUGUGGUUUGGUCUUGUGCUGGGUGGGGGUGCCUACCUUCUUCUGUGGCCCUGGGUUCGGCUUCCUGGAAAGUGGGGUGGGCCCUUUUCACGGCCCCCCUCUACUUCCCGCUCCCCCUCAGCACUACUGGUGGUCGCAUGCUGGGGGGUCAGAAUGGGGGGGGUGUCGCUGCUACUCCCCACAUCAACUAUUAGCACAUCCAUGGACAAAUCGCUACACUCACACACAAGCAUAAAUACAUACAUAUAUAGGUAUGCAUCCACACUUACCUGUACACCCCACACAUGUAGAUACACAUACACAACCAAUAGCAGACACGUUGUUUUUCUUUGUUUAUUUUUUGUGUUUUUUUUUGUUUGAAAUGGAAAUUAAAAAUAAAGCAGUCCUCCGCAGAGGAGGGGUGGUGGAGGGAAUAUAUAUGUAGAUAUAUAAAAUAAUUGUCUCACAACUAGGGUGACAUACCUUGCCUGCUCACUCAAUUUUAGUGCUCCUUAGUUAUCCAUACUGACCAUCUAGUCUCUGUCACGGGAGAUCGCGGGCAGAGCGGCGAUCGUGCGUGCAGGCGGGCAAGGACAGGCAGACAAGCAGAAAUCGGGGCAAAGUACGGGGUUUAAUCGGGGACACGGAACUACGAACACUGACUGACAUCAAUGACGGACGAAGGACUCAGGUAAAUCACGGACUGAAAUACACAGGACUGAGCAAAUGAACUAGAUACAGCUGGGUACAAUCGGGAGAAAACACGUGGGUAAUCAGGGGGCGUGGCACACAGGAGGAGCGGACGAGCCGGGCAUGACAGAACCCCCCCCCAAAGGCGCGCUACUCCGGGCGCGCCAAGGAAGGGGGCGACGGACGGGACGAGGCAAAACAGGACCUGAAAAACAAGAACAGAAUCAACGCAGGACGGGGAACAGGACCGAAGCACAAAACAUGGCAAGAGACAGAACGUAGGACAGGAGCUGACAAAGGGCUGGGAAAGCGGAGAGACAGAUCUGUCACGGGAGAUCGCGGGCAGAGCGGCGAUCGUGCGUGCAGGCGGGCAAGGACAGGCAGACAAGCAGAAAUCGGGGCAAAGUACGGGGUUUAAUCGGGGACACGGAACUACGAACACUGACUGACAUCAAUGACGGACGAAGGACUCAGGUAAGACACGGACUGAAAUACACAGGACUGAGCAAAUGAACUAGAUACAGCUGGGUACAAUCGGGAGAAAACACGUGGGUAAUCAGGGGGCGUGGCACACAGGAGGAGCGGACGAGCCGGGCAUGACAGAACCCCCCCCCCAAAGGCGCGCUACUCCGGGCGCGCCAAGGAAGGGGGCGACGGACGGGACGAGGCAAAACAGGACCUGAAAAACAAGAACAGAAUCAAUGCAGGACGGGGAACAGGACCGAAGCACAAAACAUGGCAAGAGACAGAACGUAGGACAGGAGCUGACAAAGCGGAGAGACAGAUCUGUCACGGGAGAUCGCGGGCAGAGCUGCGAUCGUGCGUGCAGGCGGGCAAGGACAGGCAGACAAGCAGAAAUCGGGGCAAAGUACGGGGUUUAAUCGGGGACACGGAACUACGAACACUGACUGACAUCAAUGACGGACGAAGGACUCAGGUAAAUCACGGACUGAAAUACACAGGACUGAGCAAAUGAACUAGAUACAGCUGGGUACAAUCGGGAGAAAACACGUGGGUAAUCAGGGGGCGUGGCACACAGGAGGAGCGGACGAGCCGGGCAUGACAGAACCCCCCCCCAAAGGCGCGCUAUUCCGGGCGCGCCAAGGAAGGGGGCGACGGACGGGACGAGGCAAAACAGGACCUGAAAAACAAGAACAGAAUCAACGCAGGACGGGGAACAGGACCGAAGCACAAAACAUGGCAAGAGACAGAACGUAGGGCAGGAGCUGACAAAGGGCUGGGAAAGCGGAGAGACAGAUCUGUCACGGGAGAUCGCGGGCAGAGCGGCGAUCGUGCGUGCAGGCGGGCAAGGACAGGCAGACAAGCAGAAAUCGGGGCAAAGUACGGGGUUUAAUCGGUGACACGGAACUACGAACACUGACUGACAUCAAUGACGGACGAAGGACUCAGGUAAAUCACGGACUGAAAUACACAGGACUGAGCAAAUGAACUAGAUACAGCUGGGUACAAUCGGGAGAAAACACGUGGGUAAUCAGGGGGCGUGGCACACAGGAGGAGCGGAGGAGCCGGGCAUGACAGUCUCGAUACACCCAUAUAUAUUUUUUUUUGGGAAUAUGGUGGGGUGCAUGGGAUUCCGCCGUCUGCCAGCGGUGGGGAGCUCGUACCCUGACCACUUCCUCACUUUUAAUGUACCGCAGUUUUGAAUUGCACACACUUCUGUUCACACACACAUUCAUACACACCGACAUGUACAUACAUUACACACACACACAUUGAGCGGGGGGGCAGAUGGGGGCCUGAAGAGGGCCCCUUUUAUUCUCCCUCUCUGGGCCCUUGGAGGGUGUGGUGGGUGGUCCCGGGGGGGGUUUGGAGAGUACCCGGAAAACCUGCCUGGUCCUUGACCCACAGUGGCACAUCCUUGAUGAUAAUACGUUGUUGUAAAUUUGUAUUAUAUGAAGGUUGAUGUUGCUAUUUAUUGUUAUUGUUGUUAUCAUAACUGCAGCUGUACUUAUCAUUUUUGAUAAAAAAUGAAAAAAACAUUUUUGAUUUGAAAAAACAAAACAGUCCUCCGCAGAGGAGGGGUGGUGGAGGGAAUAUACAUGUAAAAAAAAAAUAAUUAUUAUAUGGAGGUUGAUGUUGCUAUUUAUUGUUAUUGUUGUUAUCAUAACUGCAGCUGUACUUAUCAUUUUUGUUAUUGCUAUUACUAUUGUUAUUGGCUCUAGUUGUUUUUCUUUUUAUUUAUUUUUAUUAUUUUUAUUUUAUUUUUGUUUUUCUUUGUUUUUGUGUUUUUUUUUCUUCAUAAUGGAAAUUAAAAAUAAAGCAGUCCUCCGCAGAGGAGGGGUGGUGGAGGGAAUAUAUAUAUACAUAUAUAUAAAAUAAUUGUCACACAACUAGGGUGACAUACCUUGCCUGCUCCCCCAAUUUUAGUGCACCUUAGUUAUCCAACCUGACCAUCUAGUCUCGAUACACCCAUAUAUAUAUGUGUAUAUAUAUAUAUAUAUAGAUAUUUCUUCUUUUUUUUUUUUUCGCAAUGGACAAUAAAAAUAACGCAGUUCUCCGUAAAGGAGGGAUGGUGGAUGGACUAUAUAUAUACAUAUAUUUAAAGUAAUUGUCACACAACUGGGGUGACAUGCCUUGCCUGCUCCCCCAGUUUUAGUGCACCUUAGUUGUCCAUACUUACCAUCUAGUCUCGAUACACCCAUUUAUAUGUAUAUAUAUAGAUUUUUUUUUGUUUUUUUUCCCAAUGGGCAUUUAAAAUUAAGCAGUCCUCCUUAAAGGAGGGGUGGUGGAGGGAAUAUAUAUACAUAUAUAUAAAAUAUUUGUCACACACCUGGGGUGACAUGCCUUGCCUGCUCCCCCAAUUUUAGUGCACCUUAGUUAUCCAUACUGACCAUCUAGUCUCGAUACACCCAUAUAUAUAUGUGUAUAUAUAUAUAUAUAUAUAUAUAUAUAUAUAUAUAUAUAUAUAUAUAUUUUUUUUUUUUUUUUUUUGUGUUUUUUUUCACAAUGGACAAUAAAAAUAACGCAGUUCUCCAUUAAGGAGGGAUGGUGGAUGGACUAUAUAUAUACAUAUAUAUAAAGUAAUUGUCACACACCUGGGGUGACAUGCCUUGCCUGCUCCCCCAAUUUUAGUGCACCUUAGUUAUCCAACCUGACCAUGUAGUCUCGAUACACCCAUUUAUAUGUAUAUAUAUAGAUUUUUUUUUUGUUUUUUUUUUCGCAAUGGAAAAUAAAAAUAACGCAGUUCUCCGUGAAGGAGGGAUGGUGGAUGGAAUAUAUAUAUAUACAUAUAUAUAUAAAAUAAUUGUCACACACCUGGGGUGACAUGCCAUGCCUGCUCCCCCAAGUUUAGUGCACCUUAGUUAUCCAACCUGACCAUCUAGUCUCGAUACACCCUUUAUAUAUAUAUGUAUAUAUAUAUAGAUAUAUAUUUUUUUUUGUGUGUUUUUUUUCGCAAUGGACAAUAAAAAUAACGCAGUCCUCCGUAGAGGAGCUCUGGUGGAGGGAAUAUAUAUAGAUACAUAUAAAAUAAUUGUCACACACCUGGGGUGACAUGCCUUGCCUGCUUGAGGGAUGAGGAAGACUCAGGGACUGGAAAUGGGAUUGAAACUGAAGAUGUUCUCAUUCCUUUUUGUAUUGUUUCCAAUUUUCCUUCCCCCAGAUAUGAGGAGUUUGCUGCUAUAUUGUGCACUAAUUGAGAUUCUGAUGCUGGUAUUUUUAUUGUUUAUAAGUUUGUUAUUGUUUUCAAGUUCUUUUGUGCUUUUGCAUUUUUCCUUCUGUUUUAGUAAUUGCUGUUUGAUGUCUGUGAAGGAUGGGUGGGGUGAGAAAACUCAGGGACUGGAAGCGGGAUUAAAACUGAAGAUUACAUGCUCAUUCCUUUUUGUUUUGUUUACAAAUUCUCCUACCGUCUGAUAUGAGGAGUUUGCUGCUAUAUUGUGUACUAAUAGAGAUUCUGAUGCUGCUAUUUUUAUUGUUUAUAAAUGUGUUAUUGUUUCAUAAGUUGAGUAUUCAAUAAAUGCUAAAUUGAGA
Molecule: long non-coding RNA, 15488 nt
Organism: Brienomyrus brachyistius
Lineage: Eukaryota; Metazoa; Chordata; Actinopteri; Osteoglossiformes; Mormyridae
Exons: 2
Source: RefSeq, a predicted model, not a curated record